GUUUGUAAUUGGGUGUCAAUGUCUUUUAACAAUUUCAAGUAGUUAGCUGGGAAGAGAUCCUUUUCUUUGCGUGUUAUUUUGAUGCCUAGGUACACUAGGAAAUCUUCUCUCCAAUCGAAGUGGUGGCUUGCUUUGAGCAUGUCUUCUAUGGGUUUUGGGAUGUUAAGGCACAUUGCUUGCGUUUUGGUGACAUUGAGCUUGUAGUAGGACUGUUGGCUGUAAGCAUGUAGUUCCGUGUGUAGGGAUGGGAGUGAUAUGAAUGGCUGCGUGAGCGUAAGGAAGAUGUCAUCGGCAAAUAAGCUGAGUUUAUAUUCUGUAUUGCUAGUCGGUACCCCAUGGAUAUUGUCGUUACUGAGAAUCGCUAUAGCCAAGGGUUCCAAGGCUAGCACGUAGAGGAGAGGGGAUAGCGGGCAUCCUUGUCUGGUCCCAUUUGUUAUGGGGAAAGCUCUUGAGCAGAACCCGGAGUUCAGUACCGUUGCCGUGGGUGCGCUGUAUAGUGCGUUAACUGCGGAUAGGAAGGGGGCUGGGAGGCCGUAAGCUUGUAGGGUUUCAUGGAG
Non-coding RNA from Pelobates cultripes (western spadefoot toad), 557 nucleotides. NCBI's taxonomy places the organism in Eukaryota, Metazoa, Chordata, Amphibia, Anura, Pelobatidae. The record is from the annotation of a GenBank genome assembly.